UCCCACCGAAGAGGGACGCGGCUCGCACACGCACAGAUCUCACUGCCUGGUUAAUGUGUUCGGUAUACAAUGACAUGUGAGCGUCGGACACGAGUUAUUCACCCCUGAUUUAACAUACAAUUACUCUGUAGGAUGGCUAACUAUCAACUACCAAACACGGACGACUGGAGCACUGGAGUUGACGGUCUGGACAGAGGAACAGUUAGGAAAGAGAGGAACGGGAAAGAGGAAUAGCUGUGGACAAAUGCAGAGGAUGUGAUUGGCUAAAAGUUCUCUUAGUUAAGUCUUUUGAGUUCUGUUGUUUGGUGUUCGUAGUCCAUGUUAAAACAGUAAGGUGACAAGUUGUCUCAUGUUGGUGUUCUCUGAUGAAUUUUGCCAAUGUCUUUAGCAACUCUUAGAUCGAAUAGAGUGUUGGAGAUAACAUAGUGAUAAAACAAUGGAACGGUA
Molecule: long non-coding RNA, 447 nt
Organism: Oncorhynchus kisutch (coho salmon)
Lineage: Eukaryota; Metazoa; Chordata; Actinopteri; Salmoniformes; Salmonidae
Exons: 2
Source: RefSeq, a predicted model, not a curated record